This 318-nucleotide ribosomal RNA is filed under the name Triticum aestivum (bread wheat). RNAcentral's name for it is "partial small subunit ribosomal RNA". The record is from RNAcentral. Lineage: Eukaryota; Viridiplantae; Streptophyta; Magnoliopsida; Poales; Poaceae.
AUGGACACAUUGCAGGACUCUGCGCUUCAUGGCGAUCACCCGCUGCUUGACCUUGUUGGAAAGCCAUGCUUCAGAGGGGGAGAAGCAGCAGCUCCGCGGGAUUGGCCGGUUGUUGAGCAUGCGGCACUGCGAGAGCAGGUUAUUGAGCUCGUACAUGCACUCUCGGAGCUCAUCGGCGUUGGUGGAAGAAAUGGCUGCCUUCUCCAACCCGGCCCUCAUGUCGUAGAAGUGGGAGCUGAAAGGGAGCUCCGCGGCUCCCUCCUCCGCCAGGCUAUCAACGAACUUUCUAACCAGAAACUGCACCACCACGGCCAUUGA